This 500-nucleotide ribosomal RNA is filed under the name uncultured bacterium. RNAcentral's name for it is "bacterial SSU rRNA". It matches the Rfam family "Bacterial small subunit ribosomal RNA", at positions 1 to 518 of the family's 1533-position model. The record is from RNAcentral.
UACGAGAAGGUUAGGUUAGUUCUUAGUCGUCACGAGACGAACGCUGGCGGCAGGCUUAACACAUGCAAGUUGAACGGGAUUUGGUGGUAGCUUGCUAUCAUUAAUGAGAGUAGCGCACUGGUGAGUAACACGUGGGAACAUGCCUUUUGGUGGGGGACAACAGUUGGAAACGACUGCUAAUACCGCAUAAGCCCGGAAGGGGAAAGAUUUAUUGCCGAAAGAUUGGCCCGCGGAAGAUUAGGUAGUUGGUGGGGUAAAGGCCUACCAAGCCGACGAUCUAUAGCUGGUCUGAGAGGACGAACAGCCACAUUGGAACUGAGACACGGUCCAGACUCCUACGGGAGGCAGCAGUGAGGAAUAUUGGGCAAUGGAGGAAACUCUGAACCCCCAGCCAUGCCGCGUGAGUGAAGAAGGUUUUCGAAUUGUAAAGCUCUUUCGGGUGUGACGAUGAUGACGGUAACACCUAAAGAAGCCCCGGCAAACUUCGUGCCAGCAGCGGC